Molecule: ribosomal RNA, 253 nt
Filed under: uncultured bacterium
Lineage: Bacteria
Description: partial 16S ribosomal RNA
Rfam family: Bacterial small subunit ribosomal RNA
Source: RNAcentral
UACGGAGGGUGCAAGCGUUAAUCGGAAUUACUGGGCGUAAAGCGCGCGUAGGCGGUUUGAUAAGUCGAUUGUGAAAUCCCCGGGCUCAACCUGGGAAUUGCAGUCGAGACUGUCAGACUAGGGUGUGGGAGAGGGUGGUGGAAUUCCCGGUGUAGCGGUGAAAUGCGUAGAUAUCGGGAGGAACAUCAGUGGCGAAGGCGACCGCCUGGCCCAACACUGACGCUGAGGUGCGAAAGCGUGGGUAGCAAACAGG